GCUAAUGCAAUGACAGGGAAGAGUACAUGCAGAAUUCUCAAAGAGAGCCGGAGGCUGGUGGGAAUCCGGAAGAUGAAUGUAUGGAACGCAGCCCUUGAGCUUCACCUUGAAAAGCGGAGGCAGCUAAUGUGCUUCCGGAUUAAAGGUUGACGUGUCCUUACGUUAUAAAGGCACAGUAUGGAAUGUUCCAGCAGUUUCGGACAAAUGUACUGGCAGAGAGAACGCCGGUUGGCGUUAACCAGGGUGGUACCGCGAAUAACUUCUUCGUCCCUAUA
This 275-nucleotide non-coding RNA is filed under the name Clostridiales bacterium. RNAcentral describes it as "T-box sequence". It matches the Rfam family "T-box leader". From Rfam's summary of the family: Uncharged tRNA acts as the effector for transcription antitermination of genes in the T-box leader family. T-boxes are found upstream of many aminoacyl-tRNA synthetase genes and some amino acid biosynthetic genes usually in Gram-positive bacteria. The anticodon of a specific tRNA base pairs to a specifier sequence within the T-box motif, and the NCCA acceptor tail of the tRNA base pairs to a conserved bulge in the T-box antiterminator hairpin. The record is from RNAcentral. Lineage: Bacteria; Bacillati; Bacillota; Clostridia; Eubacteriales.